GGCUACUCUGUCAAAUUGAAAGUCUUCAGUGCCCCAGUCACAAGGACUACCUUCCCGCGCCACUCUGCCAGGAGACAAGGAAGACUUUCCCCUUUGUCUCUCUGCAAUGGUUACUGCAGAUGCCCAUCUUCUGCGUCACCAGCCAAUUGGUCAAUGGAGCAUGGAAAGAGUACCUUCUUGUCGGAUGCUACCCAUGGCCGUAGGACUUUUCACCCUAAAUGUGAUUCAGGAUGAAACCCCUUCCCAGCGCCGACCUGCCUUCGGACUGCCAGCCAGUUCGCCAGAGUCAUUUCACCACCCCAGCCCUAAAUGCAGCCAUAAUAACUCAAGUUUUCGGAAGAGGGCGACUCUUUUGCGCACCUCUCCGUCUCUGCAGACCCUUGCACCGGGAAUACUUUGUCCACUAGCCCACCUGCAAGAGUAAGGGCUCUUAGGCCGGGGAUUUAGCUCAGUAGUUCUGGCGCCUGCCUCACAAGUGCAAGGACUUGAGUUCGAUCCCUGGUACCAAAAAAAAAAAAAAAAAAGAGUAAGGGCUCUUCUUUUCUGCGGUUUCAGUUUGGGGGUCCCUACCACCCCAGACACCCGGAAUCCCCCUCAAAACUCAGGGCAGCAUUGGUCACGUGAUAUCUCGACCACUCUGGGUCUCGAACCCUGUGUGCGUAAGGAGUUGGGUGGUCGGGCCUCCUCAGGGUUGAGGCCGACACCGGACGCGCUGCAGAAAAUGCCCUCGGGGGCUCCUGCGAAGCCCAAAGAGCAGAACUCGGGAGGCGAGACGACGCGGUUCCCUCAGGAAAAGAAGGGGAUGGCUGCCCAGGAUCCCCACAGAAAGACUGUGACGUUACAGGGCUGCCUCCUGGGGGACACUGCACUAAGGGAGUCUAAAGCGGGCACACGGUGCAGCACAUCUGUAAUCCCAGCCACUGAGGCUGAGGCAGGAGGAUCGCAAUCUCAAGGCCAGCCUGGGCAAUUUAACAAGGCCCUGUCUCAAAAAAUUAAGUGGGGCCAGGGAUUUGGCUCAGUGGUUCCGGCGCCUGCCUCGCAAAAGCAAAAUCCCGAGUUCGAUCCUCGGUACCAAAAAAAAUAAAAAGUGCUGGGGAUGUAGCUCAGUUCUCGGCGGUGGGACUUGGUGGCAGAGCGCUUGCCUAGCAUGCAGAGACCCUGGGUUCCACCCUGGGCAUCACAGAAUUAAAACAUAAAAGAGCGCGAGCCUUGGUUCAUGGGGUCGGCAGAGGACUCCCCCAAAGGUGGUUGAGAACACUUUCUCCCGGCUGAAAGGGAUUUCCGGAAAUAAGGGACUUCGCGGAAGCCAAGUUUGAAUUGGCGUCAAAGGCAUCCAAAGGAUGAGCCAGUGAUGGUUUGGGGGAAUAAAGUCUGAGAGGGAAAUGUCCGAUGGGACCCUACACAACUUCCAGUCACGCUAGGACGCCAAAGCCCGCGGGACCCAGCCCGGCGGCCGCUCUCACCACGUGACGCGCGCGGCGGGCGGG
Molecule: long non-coding RNA, 1487 nt
Organism: Heterocephalus glaber (naked mole-rat)
Lineage: Eukaryota; Metazoa; Chordata; Mammalia; Rodentia; Bathyergidae
Source: Ensembl